GACAGAGGUGCCGAGCGUUAGGCGGAAUCACUGGGCUUAAAGCGUUUGUAGGCGGACCGUUAAGUACCUUGUGAAAUCCCACGGCUCAACCGUGGAACGGCUGGGUAUACUGGCGGUCUUGGGCCACCUAGGGGUCAUCGGAACAGGCGGUGGAGCGGUGAAAUGCGUAGAUAUCGCUUGGAACGCCGAAGGUGAAAAACAGGUCGCUGGGGAUGUGCCGACGCUGAGACACGAAAGCCAGGGGAGCAAACGGG
This 254-nucleotide ribosomal RNA is filed under the name uncultured bacterium. Its description in RNAcentral is "partial 16S ribosomal RNA". It matches the Rfam family "Bacterial small subunit ribosomal RNA", at positions 524 to 776 of the family's 1533-position model. The record is from RNAcentral.